CUCAAGAAAAUCGUUGCAAACAAGAGAUUGCAGGGAUGUUACACAGAGAUACACAAGGAGGUUGUUGCUAUUUCUGUUAGCUGCUUGGGUUAAGAUGAUGAGUGGUUUUUUUUUUCUUUAAUGUGGGGCGGGGGGCAAGGGGAGAGCAGUAGGAUUUGAGAAACAGAGAAUGCUCUCCAAGAUUCUCUCUGCUAACGGGGUCUCUCAAGCCUCAGGCAGCAUAGCUUCUCUCUUACGACAAGUGCAGCUGUGUCCAUAUCCUCUCCUUCCUCUCUGCUGGGGGAGAACAAAACUCAUGACAGAGACAAGAAGUCAAAUCUCCAACUCCAGUGCUUUUGCCACAUCCCUGGCAUUUCCCUAUUGAACUCAGCUCUAGUUCCUUUAAAUCAUUUAUUUUACUAUUAUUUUUAGCUGUAGUAGAUAUACAUACAUAAAAUUUACCAUCCUAACCUACACUUUUAAGUGUACAGUUCAAUGGCAUUAAGUACAUUCACAUUAUUGUGCAACCAUCACCACCAACCAUUCACAGACCGCUUUUCAUUUUGCAAAACUGAAGCCCCAUACCCGUUAAAUACUAACUCUCCUUUCCUUACACCCUCCAGCCCUGGUAACCACCAUUCCACUUUCUGUCUCUGUGACUUUGACAUGUUUUGUUGUCACAACUUGGUUGGGGUGCUACGGGCACCUGGUAGGUAGAGGCCAGGGAUGCUAUUAAACAUCCUGCAGGGCACAGCACAGCCCCCAAAGACCAAGAAUUACCUGGCCCUGUCAAUAGUGCCAAGAUUGAGAAACCCCAGUUUAAGAGAUACAAGGAAGAAGGAAGAGGAAGGAAAAGAAAUGGACGUUGACCCGGAGAAGGGAGGAUGGAGAGAAAGAAACAGGAGUGGACACAUUUACCGCAGGGAGCCAGAGCCAGAACUGCAGCCUGGGAGUCGGAAAACGAAUUGGGCUUUUCUUCCCGCCUUUCCACCCACCUGGAACGCUGGAAUACAUACUGAUGAGCUGGAAAAUCAAAAUGACCACAGAAUUCACCUUCCAACAGGGGAAAGAGCCACUUGAUCCAGCAGCUGAGAUUAAGUCAAGCUGGUCCAACAGGAAUUUAUGCAAAUGUCCAGGUUUGUCCUUGAGGAUGGAGUGUGCUCCAUUGAAAGACUUUGGGAAAGGAAAACGAACAUGGGUUCCUACUUCUGUGCUGAGCUUUGGACACACAGUUUUGCAUGCAGUCGUAACCAGGAUGCUAUUAGGUGGAGACGGUCAUCUCCCAUUUUAUGGGGAAGAAACCAGGGCUCCGAGAGAUGGUAGGGCUUGGGCAGUUUCACGGUGACAGAGCUGGGAUUCAUACCCAAAUCUCUCUGACUUGAAAGUACCUGCUCACCAGAAAAAAGACAUGAGUGGAAAAACUAGUGAAAUGGGAAUAGGACCUGAAGGCUAAUAACAGUGAUGCGCCGAUGUCAGUUUCCUGGUUUGGCUCACUGUGCAAUAGUUGUGUAAGAUGUUAUCAGUAGAGAAAGCUGGGUGAAGCAUAUACGGGAAAUCUCUGUACUAUUUUUGAAACUUUUCUUCAACUCUAAAUUUAUUUCAAAGUACAAAGUUAAAAAAAAAAGAAAAGAAAUACCUUUCCACUACGUACUCUGUGCCCUUCACUGAACUUCUUGAUCUUAUUGUCUAGAACAAUCCCCACUUCGCGAUACUGUCCCCCCAAAACACACACACAUGCACACACAUGCACGUGUGCACACACACAUGCUCGUGCAUACUCCACACAGUGUCUUGCACAGGAACAUCAGCCCCAGCUCUCUGCACCCACCAGCUGAUGCAGCCCUGGCUAUGACCUACCCCAAGGCAUCAGUGGGAAUUAUGGAAGGAGACAGUAACCGGGUGCCUGUGAUUUACACUAUAACUGUGUUCACCCCCCGCACCCUUUGGCUAUAAAAAUGCAGCGGUGUUGCAAUUUAUACAUUGCAAAAUGCCUCUCCUGCCCCCCACCCAUCCCCUGCAUCACCUCCUCCCCUGUCUCUGAGUUGGCGUGUAACCUUGAUGAUCCAGCCAAAUGAGUUAUUUGAGAUGGAAACGUUAAUUUAUUUGAGCAGAUGGGUGUCACCGCUGCUCUGUAAAAAGGUGGCGUUUUGCCGUAUUGGCCCAGAGUGCUGCAGAUGAAGUCCUGGCUGCGUCGCUGAAUCACCGAGUGUGAACGGAAUCAUAUGUUAACGGCACUAAGGGAAAUGCCUAUUUAAGCCAAGCCCUUCCAGAAAACAAAUCCUCAGCCCCCCCCACCCCGAUUUUUGUUUUAAAUCUGGAUUUUCGCAUCUCUGAUUUGCCGAGGGUCUGAAAAACCUGAAACUCAUUAUUUCUCAAAGUGUGGUCCAAUGUCCGCCCACAUCAGAGUCAAGCAAGGGUUUUAUUAAAACACAGAUCUGUGGGACCCACCCCUGACCUACAACCCCCCACGCUUGGGAGUACAGGCUUGGGGAUUCUGCAGUUUUAACAAGCUCCCUGGGUGACUGUCACACACACUGAAAGUGGGACCCCCGUGGCUGAAAUGAUGCUAUCAAACUGCCCAGGAAAAUCUUCAAAACAAAACAGAACAAAGCAAGAAACCUUGGGAUCGGAGGUGGGGUUUUUUUUGGGGAGUGGCGGGGGGAGACCUGUUUUGUUUCUUUCUACUUUCCUCUCCCUGUUCAGAUUUUGUGCAAAAGAAGUAUUACUUUUGUAGUUGGAAAUAAAUACGUAAAAGGGAUAAAAAAGAUAGCACAAAGAGAUUAUUUGUGCACUAGAAGCCAAAGACGGUUUGGAAAUGUCAGGAAUUUCCAAGACAAGGGGUGUCGCUGUCCUUGGCCCUGAACUUUCAGUCUGUACUCUCUCCUCAGACACCCUCCACCACCCCACCCCACCCCUGCUCCCCCGACUGCUGCCUUCUCUAAGUGUUACAUCCAAUUUUCUCUUGAAUACAUGUAGUGAAGAAACUCAAUGACCUCCCAGGGGACCUCACUUAUAGGGAAGAAGCACAACGAGAGGAUUUAUGGAACGUCUGUAAAAUACGUGUGUAGAAACUCACGACAUUUUGAUCGCUACCAAGGAGAAAAAUGGACAGUUUCUUACCAGUCAGUUGCAUGAGCCUUUUUUUUAAGGGUUUUUAAAAUUAAUUAAUUUCCCCCCCUUUGUUAAGAAUUCUUGGCACAGACACAGGCCCCAGAGAAGGG
Molecule: long non-coding RNA, 3200 nt
Filed under: Monodon monoceros (narwhal)
Lineage: Eukaryota; Metazoa; Chordata; Mammalia; Artiodactyla; Monodontidae
Description: lncRNA (ENSMMNG00015001597.1)
Source: RNAcentral